Pelobates cultripes (western spadefoot toad) is the source of this 522-nucleotide non-coding RNA. NCBI's taxonomy places the organism in Eukaryota, Metazoa, Chordata, Amphibia, Anura, Pelobatidae. The record is from the annotation of a GenBank genome assembly.
AUUAAAUCAGUUGAAAAGCUUAUCCAAGAAUAUUAAAUCAAAGGCAUAGUUUUCACUAUUUAUUUAAUAAUCUUUGGAUAGAAAGUGUUUAAAUAUCAUGUAUUAGUAUUGCAAAAUCCUUAAGAAUCUAUUUAUUUAUUGCAAUAGUGUACUCAUUAAACUGCUAACUGUUGAGAAUUGAAGAGAGAAAUUCACAUUUUAGCUGUAAAUUACUGAAAUGGAGAAUGUUUCUGAUCCAUUUUUAAAUUUUGUCUAAUAUUUGCAAUUUUUUUGUUACAUCUAGACAGUUGCAGUUUUGUGAAUAAAAUAAUAAAGUUACAUAUCUUAUCUAACUAAAAUAAGUACAUGUGUGUAUAUAUAUAUAAAAGAUGUGUAUGUAUAUAUAGAGUACAUUUUAUCUGCAUUAUACGUAGCCUUACAACCCAGCCAGUAUUGAUGUAUAUUUAUAUUGUAAAAUGUUAUUAUUGCUUUGGACUGACACUAUUUAAUUUAUUCUUGUUAUAUUAUAAAAUAAACAUUUUU